GGCCAGAUAGCUCAGUUGGUAGAGCACGUGACUGAAAAUCACGGUGUCGUCAGUUCGAUUCUGACUCUGGCCA
Molecule: transfer RNA, 73 nt
Filed under: Gemmatimonadales bacterium
Lineage: Bacteria; Pseudomonadati; Gemmatimonadota; Gemmatimonadia; Gemmatimonadales
Also listed under: 1 other name
Description: tRNA-Phe
Rfam family: tRNA
About the family: Transfer RNA (tRNA) molecules are approximately 80 nucleotides in length.
Source: RNAcentral